GGUUAAGCGACUAAGCGUACACGGUGGAUGCCCUGGCAGUCAGAGGCGAUGAAGGACGUGCUAAUCUGCGAAAAGCGACGGCGAGGUGAUAUGAACCUUUGACCCGUCGAUGUCCGAAUGGGGAAACCCAGUGCAAUCCGUUGCACUAUCGUUAACUGAAUACAUAGGUUAACGAGGCGAACCGGGGGAACUGAAACAUCUAAGUACCCCGAGGAAAAGAAAUCAACCGAGAUUCCCCCAGUAGCGGCGAGCGAACGGGGAGCAGCCCGGAGUCUGAAUCAGCUUGUGUGUUAGUGGAACGGUCUGGAAAGUCCGACGGUACAGGGUGAUAGUCCCGUACACGAAAGCACACAUGCUGUGAACUCGAAGAGUAGGGCGGGACACGUGGUAUCCUGUCUGAAUAUGGGGGGACCAUCCUCCAAGGCUAAAUACUCCUGACUGACCGAUAGUGAACCAGUACCGUGAGGGAAAGGCGAAAAGAACCCCGGCGAGGGGAGUGAAAAAGAACCUGAAACCGUGUACGUACAAGCAGUGGGAGCCUCUUUAUGGGGUGACUGCGUACCUUUUGUAUAAUGGGUCAGCGACUUAUAUUCUGUAGCAAGGUUAACCGUAUAGGGGAGCCGAAGGGAAACCGAGUCUUAACUGGGCGUUAAGUUGCAGGGUAUAGACCCGAAACCCGGUGAUCUAGCCAUGGGCAGGUUGAAGGUUGGGUAACACUAACUGGAGGACCGAACCGACUAAUGUUGAAAAAUUAGCGGAUGACCUGUGGCUGGGGGUGAAAGGCCAAUCAAACCGGGAGAUAGCUGGUUCUCCCCGAAAGCUAUUUAGGUAGCGCCUCGUGAACUCAUCUUCGGGGGUAGAGCACUGUUUCGGCUAGGGGGCCAUCCCGGCUUACCAACCCGAUGCAAACUACGAAUACCGAAGAAUGUUAUCACGGGAGACACACGGCGGGUGCUAACGUCCGUCGUGAAGAGGGAAACAACCCAGACCGCCAGCUAAGGUCCCAAAGUCAUGGUUAAGUGGGAAACGAUGUGGGAAGGCACAGACAGCCAGGAUGUUGGCUUAGAAGCAGCCAUCAUUUAAAGAAAGCGUAAUAGCUCACUGGUCGAGUCGGCCUGCGCGGAAGAUGUAACGGGGCUAAACCAUGCACCGAAGCUGCGGCAGCGACGCUUAUGCGUUGUUGGGUAGGGGAGCGUUCUGUAAGCCGUUGAAGGUGUGCUGUGAGGCAUGCUGGAGGUAUCAGAAGUGCGAAUGCUGACAUAAGUAACGAUAAAGCGGGUGAAAAGCCCGCUCGCCGGAAGACCAAGGGUUCCUGUCCAACGUUAAUCGGGGCAGGGUGAGUCGACCCCUAAGGCGAGGCCGAAAGGCGUAGUCGAUGGGAAACAGGUUAAUAUUCCUGUACUUGGUGUUACUGCGAAGGGGGGACGGAGAAGGCUAUGUUAGCCGGGCGACGGUUGUCCCGGUUUAAGCAUGUAGGCGGAGGUUCCAGGUAAAUCCGGUACCUUUUAACGCUGAGGUGUGAUGACGAGGCACUACGGUGCUGAAGUAACAAAUGCCCUGCUUCCAGGAAAAGCCUCUAAGCAUCAGGUAACACGAAAUCGUACCCCAAACCGACACAGGUGGUCAGGUAGAGAAUACCAAGGCGCUUGAGAGAACUCGGGUGAAGGAACUAGGCAAAAUGGUGCCGUAACUUCGGGAGAAGGCACGCUGAUAUGUAGGUGAAGCCCCUGCGGGUGGAGCUGAAAUCAGUCGAAGAUACCAGCUGGCUGCAACUGUUUAUUAAAAACACAGCACUGUGCAAACACGAAAGUGGACGUAUACGGUGUGACGCCUGCCCGGUGCCGGAAGGUUAAUUGAUGGGGUUAGCGGCAACGCGAAGCUCUUGAUCGAAGCCCCGGUAAACGGCGGCCGUAACUAUAACGGUCCUAAGGUAGCGAAAUUCCUUGUCGGGUAAGUUCCGACCUGCACGAAUGGCGUAAUGAUGGCCAGGCUGUCUCCACCCGAGACUCAGUGAAAUUGAACUCGCUGUGAAGAUGCAGUGUACCCGCGGCAAGACGGAAAGACCCCGUGAACCUUUACUAUAGCUUGACACUGAACACUGGUCCUUGAUGUGUAGGAUAGGUGGGAGGCUUUGAAGCGUGGACGCCAGUCUGCGUGGAGCCGUCCUUGAAAUACCACCCUUUAAUGGCUGGUGUUCUAACGUGGACCCGUAAUCCGGGUUGCGGACAGUGUCUGGUGGGUAGUUUGACUGGGGCGGUCUCCUCCCAAAGAGUAACGGAGGAGCACGAAGGUUAGCUAAUCCUGGUCGGACAUCAGGAGGUUAGUGCAAUGGCAUAAGCUAGCUUGACUGCGAGAGUGACGGCUCGAGCAGGUGCGAAAGCAGGUCAUAGUGAUCCGGUGGUUCUGAAUGGAAGGGCCAUCGCUCAACGGAUAAAAGGUACUCCGGGGAUAACAGGCUGAUACCGCCCAAGAGUUCAUAUCGACGGCGGUGUUUGGCACCUCGAUGUCGGCUCAUCACAUCCUGGGGCUGAAGUAGGUCCCAAGGGUAUGGCUGUUCGCCAUUUAAAGUGGUACGCGAGCUGGGUUUAGAACGUCGUGAGACAGUUCGGUCCCUAUCUGCCGUGGGCGCUGGAGAAUUGAGGGGGGCUGCUCCUAGUACGAGAGGACCGGAGUGGACGCAUCACUGGUGUUCGGGUUGUCAUGCCAAUGGCACUGCCCGGUAGCUAAAUGCGGAAGAGAUAAGUGCUGAAAGCAUCUAAGCACGAAACUUGCCCCGAGAUGAGUUCUCCCUGAGACUUUAAGUCUCCUGAAGGAACGUUGAAGACGACGACGUUGAUAGGUCGGGUGUGUAAGCGCAGCGAUGCGUUGAGCUAACCGAUACUAAUGAACCGUGAGGCUUAACCUU
RNAcentral lists this ribosomal RNA (2905 nucleotides) under Enterobacter cancerogenus. Its description in RNAcentral is "23S ribosomal RNA". It matches the Rfam family "Bacterial large subunit ribosomal RNA". Lineage: Bacteria; Pseudomonadati; Pseudomonadota; Gammaproteobacteria; Enterobacterales; Enterobacteriaceae. The record is from RNAcentral.